This 324-nucleotide ribosomal RNA is filed under the name uncultured bacterium. Its description in RNAcentral is "bacterial SSU rRNA". It matches the Rfam family "Bacterial small subunit ribosomal RNA", at positions 28 to 334 of the family's 1533-position model. The record is from RNAcentral.
GAUGAACGCUGGCGGCGUGCUUAAUACAUGCAAGUCGAGCGAAGCACUUUAACGGAAUUCUCCGGAAGGAAGGUAAAGUGACUGAGCAGCGGACGGGUGAGUAACGCGUGGGUAACCUGCCUUAUACAGGGGGAUAACAGUUAGAAAUGGCUGCUAAUACCGCAUAAGCACACAGGGCCGCAUGGCCCGGUGUGAAAAACUCCGGUGGUAUAAGAUGGACCCGCGUCUGAUUAGCUGGUUGGUGGGGUAACGGCCCACCAAGGCGACGAUCAGUAGCCGGCCUGAGAGGGUGAACGGCCACAUUGGGACUGAGACACGGCCCAA